This 465-nucleotide ribosomal RNA is filed under the name uncultured bacterium. RNAcentral's name for it is "partial 16S ribosomal RNA". It matches the Rfam family "Bacterial small subunit ribosomal RNA", at positions 28 to 507 of the family's 1533-position model. The record is from RNAcentral.
GAUGAACGCUGGCGGCGUGCUUAACACAUGCAAGUCGAACGGAAAGGCUCCUGCUUGCAGGGGUACUCGAGUGGCGAACGGGUGAGUAACACGUGGGUGAUCUGCCCUGCACUUCGGGAUAGGCCUGGGAAACUGGGUCUAAUACCGGAUAGGACGAUGGUUUGGAUGCCAUUGUGGAAAGUUUUUCGGUGUGGGAUGAGCUCGCGGCCUAUCAGCUUGUUGGUGGGGUAAUGGCCUACCAAGGCGUCGACGGGUAGCCGGCCUGAGAGGGUGUACGGCCACAUUGGGACUGAGAUACGGCCCAGACUCCUACGGGAGGCAGCAGUGGGGAGUAUUGCACAAUGGGCGCAAGCCUGAUGCAGCGACGCCGCGUGGGGGAUGACGGCCUUCGGGUUGUAAACUCCUUUCGCUAGGGACGAAGCGCAAGUGACGGUACCUGGAGAAGAAGCACCGGCUAACUACGUG